GCCUACUUGAGUCGGGCUUUAUGAAUCAGAAGAGUCAUUGAGCUCGAUGUGGAAUAUUUUGGACCUCUUUGACCCCUAUAUAUAGAUCUGAAUAGGAUGCAAAAAUGGGAUCCAUACGUUGAGAAUCCAAAGCAUAAACUAAAUUUUCAGAGGCUAUAACCUAGUCAUAUGGCAUUCGAUUGAGAUGAUUUUUUUAAUUACAAUCGGCUAACUUUUUGAGAUCUAUGAUGUGAGAUGCUUGGAGGAAUGGGGCUCGGUUCAUAGCAAUGAGGGGCUUCUAGGAGGUGGCAGG
RNAcentral lists this long non-coding RNA (292 nucleotides) under Elaeis guineensis (African oil palm). Its description in RNAcentral is "long non-coding RNA (EGUI_LNC036095)". Lineage: Eukaryota; Viridiplantae; Streptophyta; Magnoliopsida; Arecales; Arecaceae. The record is from RNAcentral.